This 95-nucleotide microRNA precursor is filed under the name Manihot esculenta (cassava). Its description in RNAcentral is "precursor microRNA miR167a". Lineage: Eukaryota; Viridiplantae; Streptophyta; Magnoliopsida; Malpighiales; Euphorbiaceae. The record is from RNAcentral.
AAAGGUGAAGCUGCCAGCAUGAUCUAGCUUUGGUUAGAGCGACAGAGAGAGCUGCUAACCCUAGCUAGGUCAUGCUCUGACAGCCUCACUCCUUC